GCCGGAGUGGCGGAACAGGCAGACGCAAGGGACUUAAAAUCCCUCGGUAAUUAUUUACCGUACCGGUUCGAUUCCGGUCUCCGGCA
Molecule: transfer RNA, 86 nt
Filed under: Candidatus Zixiibacteriota bacterium
Lineage: Bacteria; Pseudomonadati; Candidatus Zixiibacteriota
Description: tRNA-Leu
Rfam family: tRNA
About the family: Transfer RNA (tRNA) molecules are approximately 80 nucleotides in length.
Source: RNAcentral